ACUCCUACGGGAGGCAGCAGUGGGGAAUAUUGCACAAUGGGCGCAAGCCUGAUGCAGCCAUGCCGCGUGUAUGAAGAAGGCCUUCGGGUUGUAAAGUACUUUCAGUCAGAUGAGGAAGGUGGAUGCGUUAAUAGCGUAUUCAUUUGACGUUAGCUGCAGUAAGAAGCACCGGCUAACUCCGUGCCAGCAGCCGCGGUAAUACGGAGGGUGCGAGCGUUAAUCGGAAUUAC
RNAcentral lists this ribosomal RNA (230 nucleotides) under uncultured bacterium. Its description in RNAcentral is "partial 16S ribosomal RNA". It matches the Rfam family "Bacterial small subunit ribosomal RNA", at positions 335 to 554 of the family's 1533-position model. The record is from RNAcentral.